RNAcentral lists this ribosomal RNA (392 nucleotides) under Salmonella enterica subsp. enterica serovar Reading. RNAcentral's name for it is "partial 23S ribosomal RNA". It matches the Rfam family "Bacterial large subunit ribosomal RNA", at positions 1343 to 1735 of the family's 2925-position model. Lineage: Bacteria; Pseudomonadati; Pseudomonadota; Gammaproteobacteria; Enterobacterales; Enterobacteriaceae. The record is from RNAcentral.
GACCAAGGGUUCCUGUCCAACGUUAAUCGGGGCAGGGUGAGUCGACCCCUAAGGCGAGGCCGAAAGGCGUAGUCGAUGGGAAACGGGUUAAUAUUCCCGUACUUGGUGUUACUGCGAAGGGGGGACGGAGAAGGCUAUGUUGGCCGGGCGACGGUUGUCCCGGUUUAAGCGUGUAGGUGUGUGUUCCAGGUAAAUCCGGUUCACUUUAACACUGAGGCGUGAUGACGAGGCACUACGGUGCUGAAGCAACAAAUGCCCUGCUUCCAGGAAAAGCCUCUAAGCAUCAGGUAACAUCAAAUCGUACCCCAAACCGACACAGGUGGUCAGGUAGAGAAUACCAAGGCGCUUGAGAGAACUCGGGUGAAGGAACUAGGCAAAAUGGUGCCGUAACU